This 72-nucleotide transfer RNA is filed under the name Camelus bactrianus (Bactrian camel). It matches the Rfam family "tRNA". Rfam says of the family: Transfer RNA (tRNA) molecules are approximately 80 nucleotides in length. Their secondary structure includes four short double-helical elements and three loops (D, anti-codon, and T loops). Further hydrogen bonds mediate the characteristic L-shaped molecular structure. tRNAs have two regions of fundamental functional importance: the anti-codon, which is responsible for specific mRNA codon recognition, and the 3' end, to which the tRNAs corresponding amino acid is attached (by aminoacyl-tRNA synthetases). tRNAs cope with the degeneracy of the genetic code in two manners: having more than one tRNA (with a specific anti-codon) for a particular amino acid; and 'wobble' base-pairing, i.e. permitting non-standard base-pairing at the 3rd anti-codon position. The record is from Rfam by way of RNAcentral. Lineage: Eukaryota; Metazoa; Chordata; Mammalia; Artiodactyla; Camelidae. RNAcentral also lists the same sequence under 2 other names.
GGAGGAUGUGCUCAAUGGUAGAGUGCAUGCUUAGCAUGCACAAGGUCCUGGGUUCAAUCCCCAGUACCUCCA